AGGGGAUCUAUGAUAGCAUACUAAACUGUGUUAUCUAAUCGCAAGCUCCUAGAAAGCCCUGUAGAAGAGUUGUAACCAAUGUGAGGUCCAAU
Molecule: small nucleolar RNA, 92 nt
Filed under: Amborella trichopoda
Lineage: Eukaryota; Viridiplantae; Streptophyta; Magnoliopsida; Amborellales; Amborellaceae
Description: Small nucleolar RNA snoR27
Rfam family: Small nucleolar RNA snoR27
Source: Rfam by way of RNAcentral